GACUCCGUAGCUCAGUUGGUAGAGCUAUUGACUCUUAAUCAAUAGGUCCAGGGUUCGAGUCCCUGCGGGGUCA
This 73-nucleotide transfer RNA is filed under the name Chitinophagaceae bacterium. Its description in RNAcentral is "tRNA-Lys". It matches the Rfam family "tRNA". Rfam says of the family: Transfer RNA (tRNA) molecules are approximately 80 nucleotides in length. Their secondary structure includes four short double-helical elements and three loops (D, anti-codon, and T loops). Further hydrogen bonds mediate the characteristic L-shaped molecular structure. tRNAs have two regions of fundamental functional importance: the anti-codon, which is responsible for specific mRNA codon recognition, and the 3' end, to which the tRNAs corresponding amino acid is attached (by aminoacyl-tRNA synthetases). tRNAs cope with the degeneracy of the genetic code in two manners: having more than one tRNA (with a specific anti-codon) for a particular amino acid; and 'wobble' base-pairing, i.e. permitting non-standard base-pairing at the 3rd anti-codon position. Lineage: Bacteria; Pseudomonadati; Bacteroidota; Chitinophagia; Chitinophagales; Chitinophagaceae. The record is from RNAcentral. RNAcentral also lists the same sequence under 2 other names.